GCCAGCGGGUAGGCUACCAUGCAGCCGAGCGGUAGAGAUUCUUCGGGAUCUUGAGAGCGGCGUACGGGUGCGGAACACGUGUGCAACCUGCCUUUAUCAAGGGGAUAGCCUUUCGAAAGGAAGAUUAAUACCCUAUAAUAUAUGAUUCGGCAUCGGAUUAUAUUGAAAACUACGGUGGAUAAAGAUGGGCACGCGCAAGAUUAGCUAGUUGGUGAGGUAACGGCUCACCAAGGCGACGAUCUUUAGGGGGCCUGAGAGGGUGAUCCCCCACACUGGUACUGAGACACGGACCAGACUCCUACGGGAGGCAGCAGUGAGGAAUAUUGGACAAUGGGUGGAAGCCUGAUCCAGCCAUCCCGCGUGUAGGAAGACGGCCCUAUGGGUUGUAAACUACUUUUAUCUGGGGAUAAACCUACUUACGUGUAAGUAGCUGAAGGUACCAGAUGAAUAAGCACCGGCUAACUCCGUGCCAGAC
This 475-nucleotide ribosomal RNA is filed under the name Elizabethkingia sp. YC89A. Its description in RNAcentral is "bacterial SSU rRNA". It matches the Rfam family "Bacterial small subunit ribosomal RNA", at positions 35 to 513 of the family's 1533-position model. The record is from RNAcentral. Lineage: Bacteria; Pseudomonadati; Bacteroidota; Flavobacteriia; Flavobacteriales; Weeksellaceae.